RNAcentral lists this long non-coding RNA (217 nucleotides) under Nicotiana benthamiana. RNAcentral describes it as "long non-coding RNA (NBEN_LNC031137)". The record is from RNAcentral. Lineage: Eukaryota; Viridiplantae; Streptophyta; Magnoliopsida; Solanales; Solanaceae.
GUUUCAAUGAAACAGUAGCUAAUAUCAAGCAAGUCUGGGCAGUAACAACUUUUGGUAAAAUUUCUGCAGCUGUAGCAGCAGGGAAAGUGCUUUGUUGCUGCUGCACAUUACACUUGAAAUGAUUUUCAUCACUUUCAUCUGGUUGAUCAGCCUGUGCAAAGGAGUCGAUACCAUCUGGAGUUGUCUCAUUCAUGGGCUGAACUGGAGAAGCACUAUG